UGCUGAAAUAGGUUGUCCGGGUCAGCUGUCAGAUGUAUCCCUAGGUAUUUGAGAGAUGAGUGUUCUAUAUGUAUAGUGUGCCUGUCUCUGAUCGCUGCCGUGUCCGCCGCCGCCAGUCCCAGUGGGAGAGCACUAGACUCGGUCAUGUUGACCACGUAUCCCGAGAGUGCUCCAUAGUUCUGCAGGAUCUCGUUUAGAACGAUCAUUGAUUUCGUUGGGCUCGUCAGUGUCAGGAGCACGUCGUCUGCGUAUGCAGACACUAGGAACUCCUGUCCUCCUAAAGUCACUCCUCUCACUCCAGGGUGUCGUCGCAGGGUUUGUAACAGUGGUUCAAGCGACAGAACAAAUAGGAGUGGGGAUAACGGGCACCCCUGUCUCGUGCCGUUGUGUAGCCUAAAGGGUUCGAGGGGGGCUCCCGCGACUUGUAUCUGGGCACGGACGUUACUAUACAUGGCUCUUAUGAGGGUGAUAUACUCCCAAAGUGCUCCAACACAGCGAAUAGGUAUGGCCAUUUAACCCUAUCGAAGGCUUUUUCGGCAUCAAGGGAGACAAUCAGUGUGGGCGUACGUGUGGUGACCUGUCUCCAUAUUAGGGCAAUGUUACGGCGUGUGUUUUCGAACAACUGUCUCCCCGGGAUAAAGCCAACUUGGUCAGCGUCUACAAGUGUCGUUAGGAAAGGGUUCAAUCUGGUCGCCUGCAGUUUUGCUAAUAUCUUCAUGUCGUGAUUGAUUAAUGAUAUGGGUCUAUAGCUCGCUGGUAGGAGCGAAUCCUUUUCGGGUUUAGGUAGUAACACUAUGGUGGCCAGGAACAUGUCUCUAUCGGGUGUUCCCCCUUCCCUUAAUUCUUGAAAUAGUUUGAGUAGGUAGGGAGUGAGGACUUCACAGAACAUUUUAUAAUACCCGCCAUCGAAGCCAUCUGGCCCGGGGGCCUUAUUCCCCUUAAAAGCUGUGAUGGCUUGGUCUAUCUCGUCUUCUGUUAUUUCAGCUGCUAAGGUGUUUAUUGCUUAUUG
Molecule: non-coding RNA, 1009 nt
Organism: Pelobates cultripes (western spadefoot toad)
Lineage: Eukaryota; Metazoa; Chordata; Amphibia; Anura; Pelobatidae
Source: the annotation of a GenBank genome assembly